AUAAUGGGUCAGCGACUUAUAUUCUGUAGCAAGGUUAACCGAAUAGGGGAGCCGAAGGGAAACCGAGUCUUAACUGGGCGUUAAGUUGCAGGGUAUAGACCCGAAACCCGGUGAUCUAGCCAUGGGCAGGUUGAAGGUUGGGUAACACUAACUGGAGGACCGAACCGACUAAUGUUGAAAAAUUAGCGGAUGACUUGUGGCUGGGGGUGAAAGGCCAAUCAAACCGGGAGAUAGCUGGUUCUCCCCGAAAGCUAUUUAGGUAGCGCCUCGUGAAUUCAUCUCCGGGGGUAGAGCACUGUUUCGGCAAGGGGGUCAUCCCGACUUACCAACCCGAUGCAAACUGCGAAUACCGGAGAAUGUUAUCACGGGAGACACACGGCGGGUGCUAACGUCCGUCGUGAAGAGGGAAACAACCCAGACCGCCAGCUAAGGUCCCAAAGUCAUGGUUAAGUGGGAAACGAUGUGGGAAGGCCCAGACAGCCAGGAUGUUGGCUUAGAAGCAGCCAUCAUUUAAAGAAAGCGUAAUAGCUCACUGGUCGAGUCGGCCUGCGCGGAAGAUGUAACGGGGCUAAACCAUGCACCGAAGCUGCGGCAGCGACGCUGAUGCGUUGUUGGGUAGGGGAGCGUUCUGUAAGCCUGUGAAGGUGUGCUGUGAGGCAUGCUGGAGGUAUCAGAAGUGCGAAUGCUGACAUAAGUAACGAUAAAGCGGGUGAAAAGCCCGCUCGCCGGAAGACCAAGGGUUCCUGUCCAACGUUAAUCGGGGCAGGGUGAGUCGACCCCUAAGGCGAGGCCGAAAGGCGUAGUCGAUGGGAAACAGGUUAAUAUUCCUGUACUUGGUGUUACUGCGAAGGGGGGACGGAGAAGGCUAUGUUGGCCGGGCGACGGUUGUCCCGGUUUAAGCGUGUAGGCUGGUUUUCCAGGCAAAUCCGGAAAAUCAAGGCUGAGGCGUGAUGACGAGGCACUACGGUGCUGAAGCAACAAAUGCCCUGCUUCCAGGAAAAGCCUCUAAGCAUCAGGUAACAUCAAAUCGUACCCCAAACCGACACAGGUGGUCAGGUAGAGAAUACCAAGGCGCUUGAGAGAACUCGGGUGAAGGAACUAGGCAAAAUGGUGCCGUAACUUCGGGAGAAGGCACGCUGAUAUGUAGGUGAAGUCCCUCGCGGAUGGAGCUGAAAUCAGUCGAAGAUACCAGCUGGCUGCAACUGUUUAUUAAAAACACAGCACUGUGCAAACACGAAAGUGGACGUAUACGGUGUGACGCCUGCCCGGUGCCGGAAGGUUAAUUGAUGGGGUCAGCGCAAGCGAAGCUCUUGAUCGAAGCCCCGGUAAACGGCGGCCGUAACUAUAACGGUCCUAAGGUAGCGAAAUUCCUUGUCGGGUAAGUUCCGACCUGCACGAAUGGCGUAAUGAUGGCCAGGCUGUCUCCACCCGAGACUCAGUGAAAUUGAACUCGCUGUGAAGAUGCAGUGUACCCGCGGCAAGACGGAAAGACCCCGUGAACCUUUACUAUAGCUUGACACUGAACAUUGAGCCUUGAUGUGUAGGAUAGGUGGGAGGCUUUGAAGUGUGGACGCCAGUCUGCAUGGAGCCGGCCUUGAAAUACCACCCUUUAAUGUUUGAUGUUCUAACGUUGACCCGUGAUCCGGGUUGCGGACAGUGUCUGGUGGGUAGUUUGACUGGGGCGGUCUCCUCCUAAAGAGUAACGGAGGAGCACGAAGGUUGGCUAAUCCUGGUCGGACAUCAGGAGGUUAGUGCAAUGGCAUAAGCCAGCUUGACUGCGAGCGUGACGGCGCGAGCAGGUGCGAAAGCAGGUCAUAGUGAUCCGGUGGUUCUGAAUGGAAGGGCCAUCGCUCAACGGAUAAAAGGUACUCCGGGGAUAACAGGCUGAUACCGCCCAAGAGUUCAUAUCGACGGCGGUGUUUGGCACCUCGAUGUCGGCUCAUCACAUCCUGGGGCUGAAGUAGGUCCCAAGGGUAUGGCUGUUCGCCAUUUAAAGUGGUACGCGAGCUGGGUUUAGAACGUCGUGAGACAGUUCGGUCCCUAUCUGCCGUGGGCGCUGGAGAACUGAGGGGGGCUGCUCCUAGUACGAGAGGACCGGAGUGGACGCAUCACUGGUGUUCGGGUUG
This 2126-nucleotide ribosomal RNA is filed under the name Escherichia coli. RNAcentral describes it as "partial 23S ribosomal RNA". It matches the Rfam family "Bacterial large subunit ribosomal RNA", at positions 612 to 2723 of the family's 2925-position model. The record is from RNAcentral. Lineage: Bacteria; Pseudomonadati; Pseudomonadota; Gammaproteobacteria; Enterobacterales; Enterobacteriaceae.